This 69-nucleotide transfer RNA is filed under the name Ictidomys tridecemlineatus (thirteen-lined ground squirrel). RNAcentral describes it as "Spermophilus tridecemlineatus (thirteen-lined ground squirrel) tRNA". It matches the Rfam family "tRNA". From Rfam's summary of the family: Transfer RNA (tRNA) molecules are approximately 80 nucleotides in length. Their secondary structure includes four short double-helical elements and three loops (D, anti-codon, and T loops). Further hydrogen bonds mediate the characteristic L-shaped molecular structure. tRNAs have two regions of fundamental functional importance: the anti-codon, which is responsible for specific mRNA codon recognition, and the 3' end, to which the tRNAs corresponding amino acid is attached (by aminoacyl-tRNA synthetases). tRNAs cope with the degeneracy of the genetic code in two manners: having more than one tRNA (with a specific anti-codon) for a particular amino acid; and 'wobble' base-pairing, i.e. permitting non-standard base-pairing at the 3rd anti-codon position. Lineage: Eukaryota; Metazoa; Chordata; Mammalia; Rodentia; Sciuridae. The record is from Rfam by way of RNAcentral.
GGGAUUGUGGCUCAGAGGUAGAGCCCUCGCCUAGCAUGUGUGAGACACUGAGUUCGAUCCUUAGCACCA